AAAUGUGCUCUUUUAGUAUUUUUCCAGUAGGUUUUCACAAGGAGGAAAUGCCAAA
Oncorhynchus kisutch (coho salmon) is the source of this 55-nucleotide small nuclear RNA. Its record names the gene U7. It matches the Rfam family "U7 small nuclear RNA". Rfam says of the family: Animal histone pre-mRNAs are spliced by a different mechanism than nuclear pre-mRNAs and self-splicing introns. NCBI's taxonomy places the organism in Eukaryota, Metazoa, Chordata, Actinopteri, Salmoniformes, Salmonidae. The record is from Ensembl.